This 60-nucleotide microRNA precursor is filed under the name Eptatretus burgeri (inshore hagfish). Its description in RNAcentral is "Ebu-Mir-338-o1_pre stem-loop". It matches the Rfam family "mir-338 microRNA precursor family", at positions 6 to 64 of the family's 69-position model. The record is from RNAcentral. Lineage: Eukaryota; Metazoa; Chordata; Myxini; Myxiniformes; Myxinidae.
AACAAUAUCCUGAUGCUGAUGAGUGAACACUUAAAGCUCCAGCAUCAGUGAUUUUGUUAC